This is a long non-coding RNA of Papilio xuthus (Asian swallowtail), 185 nucleotides long. RefSeq lists it as uncharacterized. The transcript is spliced from 2 exons. NCBI's taxonomy places the organism in Eukaryota, Metazoa, Arthropoda, Insecta, Lepidoptera, Papilionidae. The record is from RefSeq and is a predicted model, not a curated record.
GAAAUCUAUAUAAUCAAAGAAAACCAGUUUUUUUUUAAUAAGAUGAAUGAUUGCACCUCUUCAAGUUCUACAGAAUUAUUAAAUGAAGGAAUCUGCUUCAGAAUUGCUGACUGCAUGUCACUGCAACAUCUGUGCUACAAAGUUUGACUGUUUAAAAUAUUGUAAUUCUAAACUAAAUUUUGAAA